RNAcentral lists this ribosomal RNA (450 nucleotides) under uncultured bacterium. RNAcentral's name for it is "partial 16S ribosomal RNA". It matches the Rfam family "Bacterial small subunit ribosomal RNA", at positions 354 to 796 of the family's 1533-position model. The record is from RNAcentral.
GUGGGGAAUCUUCCGCAAUGGACGAAAGUCUGACGGAGCAACGCCGCGUGAGUGAAGAAGGUUUUCGGAUCGUACAGCUCUUUCGUUAGGGACGAACGUGCUCUUUGUGAAUAAUGAGGAGUAAUGACGGUACCUAAAUAAGAAGCCACGGCUAACUACGUGCCAGCAGCCGCGGUAAUACGUAGGUGGCAAGCGUUGUCCGGAAUUAUUGGGCGUAAAGCGCGCGCAGGCGGGAUAUCAAGUCUGUCUUAAAAGUGCGAGGCUCAACCUCGUGAGGGGACAGAAACUGUUAUUCUUGAGUGUCGGAGAGGAAAGUGGAAUUCCAAGUGUAGCGGUGAAAUGCGUAGAGAUUUGGAAGAACACCAGUGGCGAAGGCGACUUUCUGGACGAUGUCUGACGCUGAGGCGCGAAAGCUAGGGGAGCGAACGGGAUUAGAUACCCUGGUAGUCC